GACGAACGCUGGCGGCGUGCCUAAUACAUGCAAGUCGAGCGAAUUUACGAGAGCUUGCUCUCGUAAAUUAGCGGCGGACGGGUGAGUAACACGUGGGCAACCUGCCUAUAAGACUGGGAUAACUUCGGGAAACCGGAGCUAAUACCGGAUAAUUCACAUCUACUCAUGUAGAUGUGCUGAAAGACGGUUUCGGCUGUCACUUAUAGAUGGGCCCGCGGCGCAUUAGCUAGUUGGUGAGGUAACGGCUCACCAAGGCCACGAUGCGUAGCCGACCUGGGCGGGUGAUCGGCCAAACUGGGACUGAGCCACGGCCCAGACUCCGACGGGAGGCAGCAGUAGGGAAUCUUCCGCAAUGGACGAAAGUCUGACGGAGCAACGCCGCGUGAGUGAUGAAGGUUUUCGGAUCGUAAAACUCUGUUGUUAGGGAAGAACAAGUACCAGAGUAACUGCUGGUACCUUGACGGUACCUAACCAGAAAGCCACGGCUAACUACGUGCCAGCAGCCGCCGUAA
Molecule: ribosomal RNA, 512 nt
Filed under: uncultured bacterium
Lineage: Bacteria
Description: partial 16S ribosomal RNA
Rfam family: Bacterial small subunit ribosomal RNA
Source: RNAcentral